Molecule: transfer RNA, 73 nt
Filed under: Planctomycetota bacterium
Lineage: Bacteria; Pseudomonadati; Planctomycetota
Description: Planctomycetes bacterium (activated sludge metagenome) tRNA-Lys
Rfam family: tRNA
About the family: Transfer RNA (tRNA) molecules are approximately 80 nucleotides in length. Their secondary structure includes four short double-helical elements and three loops (D, anti-codon, and T loops).
Source: RNAcentral
UUUGAUGUAGCUCAAACGGUAGAGCACAGGGUCUUUACCCCUGUAGUUACGGGUUCGAAUCCCGUCAUCCAAC